UUUAUAAAACCAAUCCGUAAUUAUCUGAGAUGAGAAGUGUAUAA
This 44-nucleotide non-coding RNA is filed under the name Trypanosoma brucei brucei. The record is from RNAcentral. Lineage: Eukaryota; Euglenozoa; Kinetoplastea; Trypanosomatida; Trypanosomatidae.